AUCAUUUAUCUCUCUAUCUCUCCCUGUAUCUCUCAUUCAAACUCUCACCUUCCCUUACUACCACCAACGCCAAGACCAGGACACCACCAUCCUCCUCACUGGCUCUCUAUUAUCAUCUCUUUCUUCUCAUGCCGUCUUGAACACAGAUCAAAUGAAACACAAGCGGGCUGUCGCCAUUUCCAUCAAACUCGAGCCACCACCAUUUGCCAUUUUCUCUGGCGAGUUCCUCGAUCACAACACCUUGGUCACGCAUCCCCCCUCUGUGAGUUCUACGAACCCAGGAACAAAGGAAAACGCUUCCAAAUCUCCUCCCUCACCUUACUAUGCAGUGGCAUCGUGACCACCCUUAUCUCUAGCGAAUCUCACCGUUCACGGCUUAGGUAAGCCUAGGGACUUCCUCGAUCAUUCCCUUCUCGUUGCCCUGAGUCCAUUUCUGAAGCUACGUGCAUGUUUUGAUGGUAUUCAAGUGCAAAAAAACCUAGGGGAAGAUUUUCCAGAAAACUGGUGAAGGAAAAACCGUGGCCACCAAGCCAGGCCAUUUUCCGGCCAACACUAACCCUAACUCGGCCCCACUGUGGUGAAGCACAUCGCAAGGACCCUUGAUGUCCGCGAGGCGGGUUUGACUCGACUACAUGAGUUGUAAGUGGGUAUUUUCUUUUAUAUAGUAUAUAUAUUUGUCUAGUUUCCAUAUAUACAUCUAACAAAGAAUUUUCUAUGUGAUGCCGUAAUUAAAUUAACGUUUAUAGGAAAUGACGUAAUGAUGAGAAUUAGGAAAUCAUUAUAAAUCCUAUGGGAUGUCUUAAUUAGAUUUACGACUAUGAAUAGUAUUAUGUUGAUUAGAGUUAUCGAAUCACUGUGGCAUGACUAUAUUACGUUAACUGUUCAUUGUGUGCUACACUGGUGUCAGUACUCGCCCGAGCCAGGGCCAAGCUUCACGUGUAUGUUCACAUCGCACCGUACGCUCACUUUGGAUCCAUUGUAGGUACCAGUCCUAUCCCAGAUUGCUAUAGACAAUUAGGACUCAUAUGUGUUAUGCAUAGCACCAAUCUUCAUGUGAUUGUAGUACUAGAGCAUAAAUCAUUAUUACACUCGGUCUUGUUCAUGUCAGAAUACCUCUGCAUGAACUCAUGUGUCAGCAUGUGUCUAAAGCACUCGAUGUGAAUGUUUAUUUUUGCGAGAUAUAGUAAUUACUGGAAGUUAUAUGCUUAUUUACAAAUUUUUGUGAAGUAUUGCAUUUUUGAGAUAUUGCUAGUUACGGUAAGUAUUUUCAUAUAAUACGUAGUAUGUUAUAUUUGGAAACUAUAUUUGUUUUACGGUGAGAGGUUAUAUGUUUUCGAAAAGGUUUGUACAAAGCUUUAUUUUUAGGCCCACUCACCCUCAUUUUUUGCCCCUCCAGGUUUUAAUAGCUGAGUUUUCAUGUUAACGAGGAUUCUUGACAAAUCUCGGUAUAGGUGAUUACCUUCAAUGGUAUAAUUCUUAUCCUACCUUUACUGUACUUUGCUUAUGUUCUGGCAUCACGUGUGAAUUGGGUUAAUUCUCGCUCACAUGCACACUCUUAUAUUUAGGCACUUUUAGGUUAGGUUUAAAUUUAUUCACAUUUUCUAUCUCACUACACUUUAUGGUUUCAUCACCUUCCUGGUAUCAGCUAGCACAGCUCAAUUCGGAGUCUAGGUGGACAUUCAAGGUCGAAGUGCGUCAAAUACAUGUAUGAAAAACAAAAACAAAAACAAAAACAAAAACAAAAACAAAAAAAAAAGCGCACGGAAAUUAUUUACAAAAUAUGUUUGAAGAUCAAUAGUAAAAAAAAAAAAUACAAUCUAUUGAAAAAAAAAGAGAAAGAAGAAAAAGAAUACUAUCUAACCCAUGUUCAAAUUCCUUGCUCGUAUGCUCCUCUUCCCAUUGCUUUACAAUACACCAUGCAUAUGAAGCAAGGGAUAUUAUUUAUUUAGAAAAAUAGUUCCUUAUUACUCUUGAUAGCCAAGCAAGAGACAUCCUAGACUCUAAGAUGUGAAUCAAAGACAUGUUUUUGUCCAAGUAAGAGAAUAUAAUUUUCUCCAUGAAAUUUGACUAGCGGAGAGCCAUUUAGAUGUGAAAGAAAAGAAUAUGCAAAUUUUCUUUUUCCGACCAAGGCAUGUAUUUUACAUCCCGCCUAUUGGAGAGCUUUCGGCCACUCAAAAAUAUAAAAUGACUGUUUUAAUGCCUUUUGCAUCUCACACUAGAGAUCCUCUAAGAAGUGAGGCUACGACUCAUAUUGCAAACGGAGUUUUAUGGGAACACAAGUUCCCUUCGUGAUUGAGAGCCUGAGACACUUACAAUGCUACAAUAUGUUUCCUUUUUUAGAAGAUGACUUUGAACCCGUCCAACAAUUUGAGAGUGGUCUAGAUUUUAUAUCGAUUGGACUACCAUAAAACUUUUACGUUGACAAUUAUCAAGGAGUUUGUAGCUUAAAUGGUUUAAGAGAAGAAAAAUACGUGAAAGUAAGUGCUUUGCAUGACAACUAACUCUUGGUCUCAUCAUUCUUCUCUUCCUCAAAUUAAAUCUCAGAUUCAAAUUCCCUGCCUCAUUCGUUGCUUCAUUGCUCCAUUUGGUCUAUAACAUUAGUAGCCAUGACAGUAAAAUGCCCGAAACCGGUAUUCAAGUGGCAAAAAUAGGAGAAAACAUAUGCCACAGUUCAAAAGCAAAAAGAAAAAAGCAAUACAAAACACUCCAUUCAACAUUCAAAUGUUCAAAAUAAACCGCAUUCACAAGAAUGUUUUUCUUUUGAUACAACAUUCUCAAGGACAUGAUAAUAAAAGCAAUAUUAACAAAGAUACAAGUUUUGGUGUUUCACAGUUAAGAUAGGUCAUUGAUAAGUUUAAGACCUUCAAUUUUAAUCAUACAUUUAAAAAAAAAAAUUAAUUGUAACUAGUACUCCAUCAAGGAUGGAACUCAAAGCCUCACUUUUCAUAACCAUGACAUCACAUUAGUGUCUGGUUAUGUUAAUGUAUCAGUUGAGUCUCCAGUAGCCAUGUAGCAGCAGCUCCUGUAUAGUGAACGCGGAACAAAGCAAAUCCGCUUUUGAUCGAAAAUCAUAGAACUUGGUUGGAAUCGAAACACUGU
Pyrus x bretschneideri (Chinese white pear) is the source of this 3099-nucleotide long non-coding RNA. RefSeq lists it as uncharacterized. The record is from RefSeq and is a predicted model, not a curated record. NCBI's taxonomy places the organism in Eukaryota, Viridiplantae, Streptophyta, Magnoliopsida, Rosales, Rosaceae. The transcript is spliced from 2 exons.